Molecule: transfer RNA, 67 nt
Filed under: Turnix tanki (yellow-legged buttonquail)
Lineage: Eukaryota; Metazoa; Chordata; Aves; Charadriiformes; Turnicidae
Description: tRNA-Cys
Source: RNAcentral
GGCUCUGUGGUGAAGUUCAUGUUGAGUUGCAAGCUCAUUGAUGUGCGCGAAUGGCGUGCCAGAGUCU